Molecule: ribosomal RNA, 627 nt
Filed under: Triticum aestivum (bread wheat)
Lineage: Eukaryota; Viridiplantae; Streptophyta; Magnoliopsida; Poales; Poaceae
Description: partial small subunit ribosomal RNA
Source: RNAcentral
AUGCACCCUGUUGCUCCCUCCUAUGAGAAAAGAAUUUGGCCAGUGCAUUAUAUCUCGGGGUGGAUGGGUCUUUAUCUGAGAAAACCAUUUAAGGACAAAGUGAAAGGGAAACAUCUUCCAGAUGUUAAGCAACUGCCGAUGCGUCCAACCAUGGUUAAAACUAUGUUUUGGGUUCCCAUAACUUUCAGUCCUGCUAAGGCACGCAUUUUCCUUGAUGACCGAGCCAAUAUUUUUUGGAAUCCUUAUACUCCAAAGAACUUAGUCGGGGUGGAUCAGUUGCAAAGGUCCUUCACCAUUUCUUCACAUUGGGGUAUGCUUCCAUGGAUGCGUGCUACUGAUGUUGAUGAUCUUUGCAUAGCGGAGCUAUAUCAUCCUGAUCGAGUUGCACGACAACUUACUUUGAGACAACAAGUGCCCUAUGCUUCGUUGGUCAGCGUGUACACAAAGGAGGAUACUAGCGUUGCAUAUGCGUAUUGGUCGCAUUUGUUGGGCUUGGACCAAGGAGAGUUCCAGUACCUUCUUAAUGAUGUGCAUGAGGCAUUUUCUUCUGUGGCCUGGAACAACUGGUGGGUGGGAUUUAUGAAACCAUUAACAGCAUAUUCAAUACUCUUCGUCCGGGCAUCUUGA